This 76-nucleotide transfer RNA is filed under the name Chloroflexota bacterium. RNAcentral describes it as "Chloroflexi bacterium (sediment metagenome) tRNA-Trp". It matches the Rfam family "tRNA". From Rfam's summary of the family: Transfer RNA (tRNA) molecules are approximately 80 nucleotides in length. Their secondary structure includes four short double-helical elements and three loops (D, anti-codon, and T loops). Further hydrogen bonds mediate the characteristic L-shaped molecular structure. tRNAs have two regions of fundamental functional importance: the anti-codon, which is responsible for specific mRNA codon recognition, and the 3' end, to which the tRNAs corresponding amino acid is attached (by aminoacyl-tRNA synthetases). tRNAs cope with the degeneracy of the genetic code in two manners: having more than one tRNA (with a specific anti-codon) for a particular amino acid; and 'wobble' base-pairing, i.e. permitting non-standard base-pairing at the 3rd anti-codon position. Lineage: Bacteria; Bacillati; Chloroflexota. The record is from RNAcentral.
GCGGGCGUAGCUCAGCGGCUAGAGCAGCGCUCUCCAAAAGCGCAGGUCGCAGGUUCGAGUCCUGCCGCCCGUGCCA